Small nucleolar RNA from Dioscorea cayenensis subsp. rotundata (Guinea yam), 107 nucleotides. NCBI's taxonomy places the organism in Eukaryota, Viridiplantae, Streptophyta, Magnoliopsida, Dioscoreales, Dioscoreaceae. The record is from RefSeq and is a predicted model, not a curated record.
AACACAUGUGGAGGAUAUUUCCGCAGGUUCUCCUUGAACCUAUCCCACAUCUCAAAAAGAGACUCCAAUUCCAUUUGCACAAAGGAGGAUAUUUCAUUCCUGAGUUU